Molecule: long non-coding RNA, 996 nt
Filed under: Catharus ustulatus (Swainson's thrush)
Lineage: Eukaryota; Metazoa; Chordata; Aves; Passeriformes; Turdidae
Description: lncRNA (ENSCUSG00005014595.1)
Source: RNAcentral
UCCUCCCUUCCCUCUCCCUCUCUCCCUCUCUCUACCUCUCUCUCUUCCUCCCUUCCAGCCUUUUUGUGGGGCUCUCCCUCCUCGCAUCAGCCCCGCCGCAGAGCCGACCCCCGCCUCGCCCCCCUCACCCGCUCCCCGCCAUCCCUUACAUAAGAGACUUCCCGCCCCGGCGGGCGCUCCCCACAGGUGCGUCUCCAAAAGCGCGGGAGCGCCUCCUCGCCCCUGCCUCCCUCAGCCCGCGCCGAGCGGGGAACGGGCAGCCGGGCCGGGCUGCGCUGGGCGAGCCGGGGGCAGCUCCGCGGCAGGAAAGCUCCUCUGCCGAUAAGUAGAGCGCUCCUUCUCCCGGGAACUCCUCUCCGAGCGCUCUCCGGGGACGCACUCACCUGCGAGGCAAGGGCAGGUGCGGCGGGCGGAGCGGCGUCCAUGGGCCGCACCUCUGCCAGGGCCGGGCGGGAGCGGGCGCUGCCCCGGCCCCGGCGUGCCCAGCACAGUUCUGCUAACAAGUUGAGAAACAUGAAAGAUUUCCCCAUUCCACACCAUCAUCUUCCACUUUCAAGACUUCAAGAAUUUCAAGACUUCAAGAAUUUCAAGACUUCUCUUUUUGACAUUGCUUUAAGAACUUCCAAGAAUUGUAAGUGUUGGCAGCAUGAUCUAAAGCACACUCAAGUAAGUCUUACAAGAUCUGGACUCCACAGAUCUGCACUAUUCUAUUCACAGUCCUUACCAAGCUAAACCUUAGGGAAGAAUUUUAUUUUCAAUGACUACAUUUCCCACUUUUAAUCUCUUCUUUUCAAUGUACUGCAUACCCUCCCAGAACGGUACCUUUCCUUCUGUAUGUUCACACUAACUUUAUAAAAUUAGUAAAACUCUCAAUUUAUACUCUAUAAAUAAGAGGAGACACGUGCCACUGUAAAUUAUUUAUUCAGUGCCAUUACAUUCAUGACACUUUGUAGAACAAAUCAAGUCCUAUGACAAAAUUCUGAUGCUUUAUCUAGG